UACAGAGGGGGCAAGCGUUAUUCGGAAUUAUUGGGCGUAACGGGCGCGUAGGCGGCCUCGCAAGUGGAAGGUGAAAUCCCUCGGCUUAACCGAGGAACUGCCCUCCAAACUGCGGUGCUUGAGGCCGGGAGAGGUGAGUGGAAUUCCCAGUGUAGCGGUGAAAUGCGUAGAUAUUGGGAGGAACACCAGUGGCGAAGGCGGCUCACUGGACCGGUGCUGACGCUGAGGAGCGAAAGCGUGGGGAGCGAACAGG
Molecule: ribosomal RNA, 253 nt
Filed under: uncultured bacterium
Lineage: Bacteria
Description: partial 16S ribosomal RNA
Rfam family: Bacterial small subunit ribosomal RNA
Source: RNAcentral